RNA transcript from Neopsephotus bourkii (Bourke's parrot), 1988 nucleotides. It is a transcript of the gene named RNA binding protein, mRNA processing factor 2, with no coding region annotated. The record is from RefSeq and is a predicted model, not a curated record. NCBI's taxonomy places the organism in Eukaryota, Metazoa, Chordata, Aves, Psittaciformes, Psittacidae. The transcript is spliced from 9 exons.
UCCCGGCCCCGCUGCUCGGUGCUCGGCGGCGGCGGCGGCACCGGGAGCGGCGGCGGGGGCUGGGGCGCGUCGGCCCCGCAGCUGCGGCUCGUUGCGCUCCGCUACCCCCGGCCCUUAACUGCGGCGAGGUCCCGGGACGCCGCAUGUGAGCCAGGAGGGCAGCGCCGUCCCACACCGCCCCGCACCGCCCCUGCGCACCGGCACCGCACCGGAGCUCCAAAGCAGCCGGCACCGGCAUCACCCCCGCCCCGUUCGCCCCUUUGCCCCGCACCUCACCAUGAGCAACCUCAACAAGGACACCGAGCACACCAACGGCAGCGGCAACGUCGAAGAGGAGGUACGGACACUGUUUGUCAGUGGUCUUCCUGUGGAUAUCAAGCCCAGAGAGCUCUACCUACUCUUCCGACCAUUCAAGGGUUAUGAAGGGUCACUGAUCAAGCUAACUUCAAAGCAGCCAGUUGGUUUUGUGACCUUUGACAGCCGGGCUGGUGCUGAAGCAGCAAAGAACGCCUUGAAUGGCAUCCGCUUUGACCCAGAGAACCCCCAGACCUUGAGAUUAGAGUUUGCAAAAGCCAACACAAAGAUGGCCAAGAGCAAGCUGAUGGCCACGCCAAAUCCUACCAACAUCCACCCUGCCUUGGGUGCAAACUUCAUUGCACGGGACCCUUAUGACCUGACUGGAGCAGCUCUUAUCCCAGCAUCGCCAGAGGCGUGGGCUCCGUACCCGCUGUACACCACGGAGCUGACCCCCGCCAUCCCCCAUGCUGCCUUCACCUACCCAGCGGCCGCCGCCGCAGCUGCUGCUCUUCACGCUCAGUGAACUCCAGCCAUGAUGCCAGCGCAGGCUAGCCCUGAAGCUCAGAGCUGUCCCUGGAGAUGGGACAUCCUAGUGAUGCCUUAUUGCAGCUAGUGGAGUGGCUGUACUACAGCUUCAUUCCUAGAAGUGUUAAGCAUGAUGGCAGCCCCGUCUGGAAAGACUGAUGCGCUGGUAUCCUCCCUCUGAAGCUACCCAGCAAGGAUGGAAGUCUCGUCAGUUUUGUUAGUUCGUUACGUCUCUCCUCGGCUUGUGUUCCUCCUCCCUGCCUCUCCGGAGCGAUGUGCCAGGGAUGAUCAUUCAAACUCCCCUCGGUUUGGUUUGGUGACAAGGCACCCGGCCCCGGCGUGCUCCCCAGGGGCUGCCAGCAUCCCCCAUCCCUGGACUGUGAAGCCACCAUGGGCUAUGCGCCGCCUCCAUCCCUCCCUCCCUCCCCAGGACAUCCUCCCUGGCUGAGCUUUGCAGUGUGGCUGUGCCGAAGCCCAGCCUGGGGGUCUCUGUCCUGGGCUUUCCCGGGCUCGCCCUGUCCCAGUGGCUCAGCUGAAGGGAACGAAAGGCAAUGGGUUUUGCAUGUUUUCUGGCAUGAAUUAAAACACUUAACUUGUGUAUGUGUGAGUAUAAGUUUGUUUGUUCUAGCGUUUGUGUAACCGUUAGCAACAGGUCUUGGCCCAACAGAUUGACCCAUCGACGUUUUCAUCUUGCUUCAGUGAAGACUGGGCUUUGAGAAAUACUAAACUGUCCUUGUCUCACCCCUUCUCCCACCUCUGCCCUCCCCUUCCCAGUACACCCAGAAAAAUUUGAGAAAUGCUCCGUUGUUUUUUUUCCCUUGUUUUGGUUUUUUCCGAGUACAAUGCACUGGGUUUCUGUUCUCAGCCGUUCUCCUCCGCUCUCAGAGUCAGGGUUAUUCUAUUAGCUCUUUUUCUUCCUCAAACUUCUAUCUAUAGAACAGCUGUAAAAGAUCUAAACUCUUUUUUUUUGGGGUUUUUUUGGUUUUUUUUUUGUUUUCCACAUCCUUCUGCUUGGAGAGCAUCCAGUCCUGCCAAACAUCAGCCAUCCUUAUGGGAAUACCAAACAAAAAAAGAAGUACGAGUAUUUUUGUACCAUGUGUAAUAAGGAAAUAUUUAUGCAUCAUAAAGAAUUUUUUGUGUUUGUGUGCAAUUAAUUAUUAUUAUUA